GACGAACGCUGGCGGCGUGCUUAACACAUGCAAGUCGAACGGAAAGGCCCUGCUUUUGUGGGGUGCUCGAGUGGCGAAAGGGUGAGUAACACGUGAGUAACCUGCCCUUGACUUUGGGAUAACUUCAGGAAACUGGGGCUAAUACCGGAUAGGAGCUCCUGCUGCAUGGUGGGGGUUGGAAAGUUUCGGCGGUUGGGGAUGGACUCGCGGCUUAUCAGCUUGUUGGUGGGGUAGUGGCUUACCAAGGCUUUGACGGGUAGCCGGCCUGAGAGGGUGACCGGCCACAUUGGGACUGAGAGACGGCCCAGACUCCUACGGGAGGCAGCAGUGGGGAAUAUUGCACAGUGGGCGGAAGCCUGAUGCAGAAACGCCGCGUGCGGGAUGACGGCCUUCGGGUUGUAAACCGCUUUCGCCUGUGACGAAGCGUGAGUGACGGUAAUGGGUAAAGAAGCACCGGCUAACUACGUG
RNAcentral lists this ribosomal RNA (468 nucleotides) under uncultured bacterium. RNAcentral's name for it is "partial 16S ribosomal RNA". It matches the Rfam family "Bacterial small subunit ribosomal RNA", at positions 28 to 507 of the family's 1533-position model. The record is from RNAcentral.